RNAcentral lists this ribosomal RNA (303 nucleotides) under Triticum aestivum (bread wheat). RNAcentral's name for it is "partial small subunit ribosomal RNA". The record is from RNAcentral. Lineage: Eukaryota; Viridiplantae; Streptophyta; Magnoliopsida; Poales; Poaceae.
AUGCAGAAUCAUUUCGAUCUACUUGUCGCGGAUGUGAUGCCUAUAUACAUGAUCAUGCCUAGAUAUUCUCAUAAAUAUGCACUUUUCUAUGAAUUGCUUGACAGUAAUUUAUUCACCCACCAUAAUACUUAUGCUAUCUUGAGAGAAGCCACUAGUGAAACCUAUGGCCCCCGGGUCUAUUUUCCAUCAUAUAAGUUUCCAAUCUAUUUUAUUUUGCAAUCUUUACUUUCCAAUCUAUAUCAUAAAAAUACCAAAAAUAUUUAUCUUAUUAUUAUCUCUAUCAGAUCUCACUUUUGCAAGUGA